CCAUAAUCAGUACUAUAAGAGUAAUGGUCCUGACUAUCUAUGCACAAAGCAUCCUAUAUAAUAGUUCUAACACAACACCAAACGAAAUGGCACUAGAACUGGCAGCAAAAGUGGAGCAUGUACUAAGAUCGCAAGCCGUGCAGAGCAGAAUCGGAAUAACUAUUUCUGAGGUUGUUCUCGGAGGAUCAGUGGCUUAUGGAACCGCAGUCCAGGGGAACUAUGAUGUGGAUUUGGUUGCAUUCUCACCAAGUCUUCACCCAAAACAAGGGAAAGUGUCUGAAGAUGGGUACAGCACAAUACUAUAGCCAAACUCAAGAUAUACCUUCUAGAGCACCUAACUGGGAGAUAUAUACCCCAAAAAAUGGAGAAGCAAUUUCAUGGCUGGCGCUUUACUGCUAACUACUUGCAAGUUGAUUUGCAGAUCAGCCCUCAAUGGGAGGACCCUAACCUGGAAGACAUGUAUUCCUACAUGAGAGACAUGCAUCCGGACAGGAGAAUCUUGUUUUCUUGUGGAACAGCCAAGUACAAAAACUCCUUAAUGGAGGGCCAGCCGAGAAGGGCAAAGAUACUUAUCAAAAGAAUUAAUCAAAGUGUGGAGAGACUCCGUUUGGGAUGGAAAAGUCAAUGGAUGCCCAAAGUCUUUCUUUCUUAGCAUUCUUGUGCUCAUCUCCUAUCAUCGAGCUCCACAGCAACUACUCAGUGAUGCAACUCCAUUGAAAACCCUUGCAAAAUGGGUGGCAAGAGAUAUACAGGAACUUGUGCAACAUAUUCGAAUGGACCCAAACCUGGACCUCCAUGUUCCCGGGGAGAACCAAGUGAUUAUGAGAAAGUAUAGUCACUGCCUUCCUGACAAGCCACGCAUCAUCGACCCGGCCAACCCCUUCAAGAACUUCUACAAACAGGGUCUCUGUCAGAUUGAGCCUUAAAAGAGCGACUCGUGUGAGAAACGAAGGGACAUAUUUGCAAGACAGAUUGCAAGCCUCAACCUGGUGAUGAAUGUCGUGUAGCCUAGUGGCAUACUUAUAUGAACAACAUACUAUAAGCGUGUAUCAUUUACAGUACAUUUUAAAAGGGAUACACUUUAAUGAAA
Molecule: long non-coding RNA, 1090 nt
Organism: Halichondria panicea
Lineage: Eukaryota; Metazoa; Porifera; Demospongiae; Suberitida; Halichondriidae
Exons: 7
Source: RefSeq, a predicted model, not a curated record